AGGUAUAUGACCAAUUGAUUUUAGGUCAAGUGGGAGUUUAUUAGGUAUGUGCCCCAUAAGUCAAUUGUUGGCUGACACAUUUAUAAUUUCAGAGCCUAUUUUUUGUACUUGUAAAAUUUUUAUUAUUAAUAAAAAAUAUUUUUAUUUUUAAUUAUGUUUAUGUGUCCAUGAUUUAUCUUAAAAAUUAACAAAGAUGAUUUUAUAUAUUCUCAAAAUAUUGAGAAUUUGAUACAUGCAUCAUUAGUGAUUAGUUUCUAAAUGUUCACAAUCGUAGGAUCAUCACGGAGGACAGUAAUCAAUCCAUUUAAGAUUGAUGUAUGAAUCACCUUUCUUAUGGAUAAAUAAGUCUCGAGUCUGCGGUGUAAGGACAUUAGGAUGAGAGUGCAGGUGGUUGUUAGAGAACAACUUGUACUGAGUGUGACCAACAUGAGAAACCACUUGAAUGUCUACUCAUUCGUCAGUGAUCUCCUCGAUGCUGCAGUGGUGUGAGUGAUCUUUUGACCUAUGAUGUGUUGGCUAUUCGCAACAAGACUAUCAAGUUUGACUGCACGUUUCCUUGAUUCCUAGUCAUUUUGGUCUUUACUGUGUAUGUUGGCUACAGUAGGUUCAAGUUCGCUGUUAGAGUAGGAUGUACCUAGAUGGAAUCUAUCGAUCAGAAAAAUAGUCUUAUGCGAUUAGUAAGACUAAGUUCAAGAAGUCUCCAGUCGAAUCAAGUGUGAAUACUGAAAAAAAAAUUUCACAGGAUUCAUAGAUGAACUCAAGUUGAGCCAAUCAGAUAUAUAAUUGAUGAUGGGGUUUGAUGAGUUCUCCAUGACCUCCGUCAAGUCGAGACUCGCGAUAGAGAGACUAAAUCACACGAUAACUGCACCUAAAGAUUUAGAUUUUUUUAUUCUGCUAGAUUACCACUAUAUACUGCUAGACGUCACUGGUGGAUUAUAAGAACUCACUUGGAUUAUUUUCAAAUCAACGAUCCUUAUUGGGUUGAGCUAGACUUGUUUUGAUCCAUUGAAAGAAGUUUCGAUGAUAUUAUGAUGGAGAUUACAGUAUGUCUCACUAUCAGACAGAAUAGAACCUGAGGAAUCACACACAAAAGAAGUUUUGAUCCAAUCAAUGAUUUGGAUCAAAGUCAAAUCAUCAAUUGGAUUGAUGAUUUGAAUAAAUUUGUAAGUGUUACAGAUUUAGUAACUGCUAAUUGUUAGCAUAAAGACUUAAUUACAAAUAUUGUAAUUUAAUUGAAACUGAUUAAAUUAUGGAUCAAAUCCUAAUUAAUUUAAAUCAUAUUUAAUUUAAUUGAGCUAGAUUUAUUUUAAUGCUAAUUAGAUUUAAUUAUCCAAAUUAGAUUUGGAUUUCAAUUUUGAUUGGAUCAGAUUUGACAGUCUUUCGAAUUUGAUUCGAUGUGGGCUCAAUUUGAACUCGAUUUGAAUCCAGNNNNNNNNNNNNNNNNNNNNNNNNNNNNNNNNNNNNNNNNNNNNUUUGAACUAAAUUGAACCUAACCUCUUGAGCCCAUAUUCCCUGAGCUUCUUUCUCCACUUGGCCGACCAGAAGUGGGAUGGGGCGAUGAGAAAUCUCGUGUAAUUUCUUUGGCACGUGUGAAGGGGUAUGGAUGGGUUGUUAUUUGGUUUCUUGAUUAGUUAGGACUCCUAUCUUGAUAAGAGAUAGAGCCAUCUCUAUCUAGUUUUGGCAUGGAAGAGUGCAUCUUUUGUGCGACAAAAAAUUAUAAAAGGGGGUGUGAUGCGUGAGGGUUUUUAAUCCCUUAUUUUGUGUGCUACUUCUUUCUUGUCACCCUCUUCCUCCUCCACGCCAACUUUUCUUGUUCCCUCCUUUCCACACCCCAGUUCUUCCUCUUCUAGAUUUGAUCUGCGAGAAAGGAGGCCUUAGAGAGAGAGAAAAAUAAUCAAAAAGGAGUUCUUGAUUAGUUUUGGUGUUUGGUUCAAUCCCCAGAAACCUGCAACAGGUCUGCUUCAAGUGAUAUAAAGUAAAAGGCUCUGAUCCAAGCCGAAGAACGAAGCCUAUAAAGGAGCUAGCACCCUGAGGGCUAUAGAGUUCUGAUCAAGACAUCUUCAUGUGGAUACCAGCAGAAGCCGAGCGCUUGCAUGGCUUUGAUAGCAAUCCCAGACAUCCGCAGGAUCCGAUCUGAAGAAGGAGGAGAGAAAAGCAUCAGGUAUAACUCUUCUUUUGUCAUUUAUGAUUUCAGAUCUAUGCAAAUAAUUUAUUUAUGCAUGUUAGACGAUCCUAGUGUUGAUUAAGAUUGGGAAUCUGCAUAUUUGGAUUGGAUUAAAAAUUUUAAAGUCUGCUUCCGUUGUGGUUAGUGUAACCGUAUCGAUCUAUGCAUACGAAUUAACUUGCAUUCCAAUAGAAGAAUCAUAAUUCAAGAUGAAAGCAUUUAGACAAUAAGAUAAGUUUUUUUGUGAGCAAAACUGCAACAAUGGACAUAUGGAUCUUUCUAAAGCAUGGAAAGUGAAGAUGAUCACAGGUGCUCCCAUGUACAAAAAGCAACAGAAGACUGGUUGGUAUCCUCAGCCUACCAAAUGACCCUCUUCAAGUUAUAAUUUUUGCAUUGCUAUUGCUAGUUGACUCAAGGAAGUUUAUGGGAUCCAAAGAGAUAAAUGACCUCACGUGAUAGAAUAGCGACAUAAAAACUUAAUUACAAUUAGCAUCAAGCUUUGGUCUGCCAUGCCACUUCUAUGCAAACCUGAGGAUAAGGUUACAUACUUUGAAAAAUAGAGGAUUGCAGGUUCCUGAAUUUCUGGAUUUGAAUCCUAAAUAUGCAGUAGGACACAUUUGAGUAACUAUGAAGUAUAUCAUUUAGGAUUCGCAGAAAAAGUCAAAUCUAAUUUGUGAUCAAUCUGCUGCCAAAACUUACAUACGAAUGAAAUUUAAGUGAAAUGAAACAAAAAAAAAAAGAAGUGGAAGAAAAAGAAAAAGGUGAAGAAAAUAGGUUUUAGGUAUCCACCUUAGGGAGAAGGAAUAACUUGGAGUCCACCACUAGAAAAGUUUUAUUGAAGCCACAUAUAUUCACCACUAGUCUCUAAUAUAUUAACCUUAUAAAUUUGUAGAAAAUUUCAGCCAUCCAGCUAAUCUAUCACCUAUUAGAUAAGAGUUUGGUUGCUACCCUGCAUCUUUCUGUGUCAGUGUUCGUGUGGGGGCAGCAACCUCCUUAUGUAACCGGAUAAGUUUGUAGAAAUUUUAGCAAUCUAUAUGAUCUAUCACCUCUUAGACAAGGGUUUUGCUUGCAUCCUGCCUCUUUCUAUGUCUGUAUGAGGCGGGUCCGACAAUUUCCUUAACAGUUAACCUUACAAGUUUGUAGAAAAUUUUAGCCAUGCAUCUAAUCUAUCAUCUAUGAGAUAAGAGUUUGGUUGCUGUCCUGCCUCUUUGCAUAUCUGUGUUGCAGUGGGUAGGGCUGUCCGCAGAGUGGAUGACCAGCUUCUAAUCUGGAAGCAAUCCAAAUUUAAUUUGGUCCAACUUGAGUUGCUAAGUUUUUUUUUUGGAUCAGUCUUGGAUUCAAAAACAUGACCUCUUUUGAAUAUGGAUUGGAUUUGGAUCACUAAAUUUCUAAAACUUGACCAAUCCCAAGCUAGUCCAAUAUAUGCUUCAAAGCACUCCUUAAAUAUAAGAAAACUAUUUUUCCUUUCACAAUAUAUUCCGUCAACAAUUUGUGUUGUUAAUUAUAACUAUAGAUGGUUGUCAAUCAAAUCUUUUAUUACGUCUACGCAUUGCACAGUAUUAUUUUGUAUAAUAUAUUUAUGAUAAUUAGAUGAUCAUUUUAUAUAUAUCUGUUGUGAAUUGUAUUUAGAUUACUUGUGACCCCAUUUAAUCCAAAAUAUCUGACGGAUUUGUAAAUUUAGUAUUAUACCCGAACUGAUACAAUCCAAAUGGAUCUGGAUUAUAUUUGGAUUCAAUUUGUUGACUCGAUUUAGAUAUGGAUUGGAUUUGUGUUAUGUCUAUCCUUGAUCCAAACCGACCCACUUGCAGGCCUAGCAGCAGGGGGCAGCAACCUCAUCAACGGUUUCUUUUCAAUAAUGAUGAUGAUAAUGAGGACCUGAAAUCAUCAAACUUAAGCUAGAGGACUCAAUUAAUGCACAGGAAUGAAUGGAAUAGGUCCCAAUAGGUCAUGAAUUUAAAUUUCAACCAUUGAACUAGUCCCAAUAAGCAUAAAGUUCUACAACAACAAAUAGAAAAUUGGCUACAUGAGGAGCUAAUUAAGAAUGGCCCUAGCUCUUUGCUUAAGGCCCACAGACACAAUAGAUGGUUUGCCCAUGUAUGUAAAAAGCUGUGCAGUCAAUAAACUUCAGCACAAAUGCCCUGGAGAAACAGAAGCCUAGAAUUAUGUAUAUAAAUCAGUCCUGUCAUACAUGAUUCCAAUUUGUACCUUUAGUACAACUGCAUCUAUAUGCAUGUUAUUACAGGUUCAUUGGUAUAUGAGUAAUCAAUCUCUUAUUAGACAAUAUAUUGGCUUCAUUAUCAGCAUUUAUUAAUGAUGGACCUCGACAAUUCUUUUCUAGAAUUAUAUACACAUGCAAACUGAAAGACAAAUGACAGUGUCCAGGACACAGGAAAAAAAAAUCUAUGAGUUUUUCAUUAUGUUGUUUGGGUCAUCAAAUAUACCUGGCACAAAUGCGGGUUCCACAACAAGCGACAAAACUCUUUAUUGCUAAGUUUCUAUUGAUGAUUUAAAACACAGCUGAUAGGUUGCCUACAUGGUCCACCAGGUGGGACUGACUGGGCACCCGCCUUUCAAUUUUGCAUCAUGUUCAAAUAUAUGGAGAAUGAGUUUGAUAUAUAAAUUGGUCCUAGAUGUUGCCAAGUUGGUAGCCACUUGACUUAUAAUGUUAGUAACCUGAAGUAGGAGAGAGUGUGAAGUGGAUUUAGGUGCAGAUGCCAUGUAGCAGAUCCCCAAGGAAGAAGAAAAAGAAAGAACAGGAAUAUCCUGAGAGUUUCUUAGUGGGGAUUGCACUUAGAUAGAAGUUUCCCUUCACUGUGCUUGCUAUAUCUUAUUUGAUUAACUAUGUUCCAUUUAUUGGUUUUAUGUAUCUUUAAGGCUUCUUGCAUUUAACUUUAUUUUUAAUUUAUCAUUUUUGGGCUGCCUUGACCUAUGGGAGACUGCCUAGGUUCCAAGAGCUAGGCACUCCUGGCACGCCUGCCUACCACCUACUCCAAUUUGGCAAUAUUGACAUUUACAACUAGCCUUUUAGAUCAUAUGUAGCAGCUGCAUUUGGUGAAGGUGCUAUCAAGAAAGGUUAUUUAGAAAUGUUGCAUUUCUCUAAAUAGCUUCACAUCUUUCAGUCAUGUAAUUUAGAAAGUUUUAAGCUUGAUCUUGACAACAGUAUUGAUAUAUUGACCUUUACCUUAUUGCAUUAAAUAGGCUAUGAGAACUUUUCUUUGAUAAGCAAUAGCAAAUAUCAUGAUCACUUUACAGUGUUGGUAACUUGUAUCGGACAAUUAAAUUGUUGUUAAGUGCUUUCGAGCAUCCUUUUUCAUUGGAUGAUCAGCAAAAGAGACUAUAACAGCAAGUUCCACCAACUGGAUGUAUCAUCUGGUCUACCCAAACAUGUUGAAGAAAUUUUUUUUUUUUUUUGCUGGUUAUCUUGACAAAAUGAUGAGAUGACAACAUGAUAAAAGAACCAAGGCUUGCUAGCAAUAGGAUGCUUAGUUUGGUAAAAAAGAAAAUAUUAGGAUUUCUCCAUGCACCAUAUGUUGGUUCUCAAAGACUCAUAUACACCACUACCAUAUGUAGUUCAAAAUGUGUAUAAACAUGAGACAAGGCUGUGAUGCGAGUUAGUGUUAGAUGGAAAGAAUAAAAUAUUUUAAAGAAUCGAAUAAAUAGCAGGUUGAGAUGGACUUUCAUACAUGAACGUGAUUUAAAACUUAAAAGGCAAGCCCACACUGCAAAUGGCAUCUAUAUAGUAUGCUAGGAUGUGAUUGAUGAUCAAAGCGAAUGAACCAUGGAUUCCCCACAUGCUGCCACAUCAUUGAGAAAGGAUUCGUGCAUACAUACAUAUAUGUACACAACUGCAGUCCAAUAAUUUUUAUAGAGAAUCUGAGGACCUUAACAAUAAGAAAUAAGACAAGGACAAGAUAGAAUGAGGAACCAAAUACCAUACACAGAUUAUGAGCAAAAGAAUCAGAAUAAUUGAGCACUUGUCUAAAGGAAAAAGACAUACAGGGAAUACAUGAAUUCAUCCCUGAAUAAUUCGAAAGGACUGAGUCUAUGCCAGACACUAAUUAAAGGCCUUCCAAGGAGGUCUCAUUCACAAACAGCUAGCAUUUGGUUAACAAAACAACCACUAUUAUUGUAGCACCAAUAGACAAAGACAUAAUCUUUAGAGUCCAAUAAACAUAUAGCAUCCUACCACACCUUCACAUGUCCCACAUAAUUUCGACAACACUGCAGUUAUUUCAUAUAAAAAAUUAUGUAAUUGAAUUCAAACUGGAUUAAGUCAGACAAUAGAGCCCCUUACACAAAUGCAACCAUGUUUUGAUUAUAAACACAUGAAACGAAAUAUCUCAGAAAGAUUCAAAGUGAUCUAAAACAGGAACAAACUCAACAUCAAAAAUUAUAUUCAUCAGAACUAAGCAACAUAAUAGAGUUCAUUGAUUAGCACAUGUAUUUCGAACAAGAAUCAAUCAGUCAAUGAGAAACGCAAAAAAAACAAAGUAAAAAUCCAAUUUUUAGUAGAAAAAUUAACUGAUACCACAACAGAGAUCUAUAGCGUCAACUAAACAAUCCAUAGAGAAGCAAAUCUCACCUGGGACCUCGUUGAAUGACGCUGUAGUCGCCGCGGGGACGCCGAGGCAAAGGUCGCGCGCCCCAACCCUGACCCUGAGAGAUUGGAGACAAUCCCAGCGAGACAGAGCACAAUCACCUCCCCGGCCGGGCCGGCGGCGGCGGCAUCUCCAGGGCGGCGAGGUGGGGGAUCGGAGGACGGAGAGGAGGAAGGAGCAGAGAUCGUAGAGAACCCACGAUGGCUCGUCCUCGCCCCUCAUGGUGGACACUAGAAGAGAGGGAGAGGAGGGAGAAGAGAAUUCCCGAAAUACCCUCUUCGAAAAAAUUUCGGCGAUGGAGGUGGGCGGGGAGUGGAUAGAAUGGGAUCAAAACUCUUCUCUCUCUUCUUCAAUCUUUUAUUCUUAUUUUUUGCUCUAAUCGGACUCGCGGGAGCGAAGAGAAUGGGAGGGAUGGCCGAACGGGGGAGACCGGAAGAGCAACGGAAAUUUUUUGAUAUAUUCACCACCAAUUACAUUGAUACGUAAAAAAGAGAAAGCAAGUAAGGAGUGGAUUGUUAGAAAUGAAGAGUGUAUUUAUCCAUUCUCGUGCAACGUUAUUUAGUUUUUAAAAUAAUCAAAUUUUGAUGUAUGCACCCGAAUUACUGUAACUGGUUGAGACUAGACGUGGAAAGAGAGUGAGAGCAAAGAGUGAAUCAAUUGGAAAAGUAAUUAUUUUGUAAUUAAUAAUUAUAGGUUAUUAAUAGGUUAUUUCGUUUUUGUAAAGUAAUUAAAAGAUUAUUUUGCUUGAAAUUAGGAAGGAAAAAGUUGGCUAACUUGAGAUGUUCCGAGGCGGGAACAAGACAAAAUUUUUAAACGGAUUACAGCUAACGGAAGUGAUUUUUUUUUUUGUACCUGAUAAGAAUGCUUGGGACCUCGCAGUGAGCAAUGACCGAUAUGUUCUGUUUUUCUGAAGAAUCUGGAGGGUUUCCUUGAAGUAGGAAGGAGAGUCCGAGAUCUUGAUUACAAUGGCUAAAAGAAGACAGAAAUUUUGUAUACUUCAAGAGGAUCGGGUAAGAGAGAAGAAACAACCUUUAUCUAGCUUGACCAGAAAUAAUAUAGUAUUGUUACAUUUCAAUAUUAAAAUGACUAUAACUUGUUGCUGGUCUUGAGGUAAUAGGGGGAACAUGAAUGGAAAGAAGUUUCACGUUUUAACACCGUAUGCAUGUCCUAAUGGAGCUAAUUAUUAAUCACAUACUUUCCCACUACUCUUAGUACUCAUGUUCAAGGCCUAAUUAUUCUUGUUUUUUAACCUAAAAGUUAUCAUCCUCUUAUCUUUUUAACCCAUUACUUUGGUUAAUAAUAGACCAUAUUAACUUAAGAAGGCUACAUGAGCGUAUGGAUAAAGCUCUUACCAGUAGUCUCAAAAUAAGACAAUAAUAUACAACACAUCCUCAUCCUACAUGCUAACAAACUUGAGAAUACUCUAACCAAAGAAAUGAGUUCUUGGUGGAGCUUGGCACUCAGUCUCUUGUGCAAAGUCAAUUCUAAGUUAUAUGACGAUCUAAUUAAGCUGUUGUGUUCUAGAGGAGAUUCAAGAAAGAGAGGGUUGGCUGUACCGAUUCCCAAGCUUUGAAAUGGUGAAGCAUAUAAGAAGGAAAUGACUCACAUGCGAUCUACGUAGCAAGAUUGGAUACGGCCAUCUCUUUAUAUAUGUUGGCAACUAUCCAUGUGUCGACUCCCACUACUCACAUAUAUCCACACAUAUCCGCUAAAUGAAAUUUGCUAAGAAAUAAAACCAACAAAUAUUGUGAGGGGGACAUCCAGGGAAUUGAAGCAGCCAAUGUCAAACCCCUAUAACUUUGACCUUGAUAGCUGGUUGGGCAUGGCAAGCUGUUCUUAAAACCGAGUUCUUAUAUCUUCUUUCCAUCUUGAGAAGAAAUGAUGGAAAGUUUUGAUUAGCCAAAAUGACCUAUAUAACAUUUUUUUAAUCCAUUAAAAACAAUUAUUCCAGCUGGAUGAACCAAAAUUGUAUAGCAACUAGAAAAUUGCCAUAUGCCCUAUUUGAAGGAAUUUUCUACAAGCAGUGCUGUAGAAGAUUAUACUCCAAACGGGACCCCAUCAAGCUUUCAAAUUAUAAGAAAAGCUUCUUCUAGAGCAAACAUUCAGAUCCAUCUGCCAGUGCUGAAUCUUCCUAAUUGGCAUGGAUUCAACUGACAGAAAAGUCAAACACCAUGUGAGAGCAUAACAUCUCUCUGGGAGUCGUAUGUUCAAAUCUGAAUGUAGCCACAAAUGAGUAUUUAACAAAUCAAAGAGUAGUGUCCAAUGGUUAGGGUAGUAGAGCAGUAAAACAUCUAGGCAACGAGAUGCUGAAUGCUCACUUGUGCCAGGCCAUCUUACGCACAGUACCAGCCAAAUUUAUUUCUUAGGGCCACAGUAUGUCCUCAAGAACAUAGGCAUGCCUCAACAGAUCAAUAUUUGCAUAUAGAUUCUGUAUUAUAUAAUAAGAUUUCAGCAUGUCAAAAUAUUACCAGGUGAAAAAUGCUGUCUAACAAAAUGAUAAAAGUAACCAUGCGAAGUAACAACGCAUCGUCAUCUACUUGAUUGUUGGCAUGUUUCUGCGCUGCCUAACUUUCAGGUUACUUGUAGCUAGAACUAAACCAGCCUGAUCAAAAUUACCACCCAGAUAUUAAAAGGCUUACUUCUAAACCAUCGAUAUAGAAAAUUAAGCAUAAAUCUGGGAACAAAAAUCUCAGAUACGGUAGUAGAAUAGCUCUCUUCAAGGAGUUUUCAUAGAAUAGGUUUGUAGACAACAUUGUCUUGCUUGAAACAACAGAACAGUUGCCAAUUACAGACCAUUACACUCAGCAUAUGGAGUGCAAGUGUCUUUGUCAUACAACAUACAUUAUGCCCCAAGGUCACAAGCAGAGGUAAAUCAAUCAUCUGUCCUCACGCAAGCCAUCCUGGCAUGUAAUUACUCACGCUAGGCCCAGGCGCUGCAGCAAUCGUUAUUUGUUCUGGAGGAUACCUACAGGAAAAUUAACAAAGUACUUUGAUUAAAAAUAAAUAGAGUAAGAGUGGCUGAUAGAUGUUUCUGACACCAAGUUUGGUCAGCUAGGAAAGAUUUCAUUUUCAUGAAAUAGUUUGCUAGAAUAUUUAGAAGAGAUAAUCUGAACACUUUGGUUUGCAUUUCAUGUACUGGAACAUGAAACGAUGAGAAAAUCUUGAGCUUUUUCCUUUGCAAUAAGUAAAACCAUGGCAUCUUUAAACUCAAGCAUUCAUGGGGACUAUCUGUCAUAAAAGCAUGCAGUUCUACUCUCAGUCCAUAAUUUUUUUAAUUGGAGACCAGAUAACACAGUUAUAUAUCUUGUACGAUAUCUAAAACUUUAAUCCAUCUCAGUAGACAAGUUGCAUUGUCUAAGUCACAGUUCAUAAUACAUUUCUUGGAUCAAAAGUUUUCAAAUUUUUGCAGUAGCCCGAAUAUGUUAUGGAUUAUGAGGUGAAGCUCUUUAAGUUAGAACCACCAUCCAACCUACAAUGCAACAUCAUAUUUUUACAGCAUGAAGUUAUUCCUGAUAUUAAGUGAUUGGAGUUAAAAGUGGCUUCCAUAAAGUUCCAUCAAUAGGUAUGCAGUGAUUAUUGUUCUUCAGUGAUGAGUCUAAUUUGUUGGUGUAAUGGCCUUCCAAGGUAUACUCAAGCAUAGGCUACUGGAUUCAACCUAUAGUUCCUAGAUGACAAAAUGGUUGGCAGGACAAGUGUCACAGUGGGGCAAAAAACUCUUAUACCAGAGCGUGCUUUGUCUCAAAAUGGGAUCCAUGGAUAUAUGAUAAAUCUUGAUUUCUGUUGGAUAUUGAGAUCAAAUCAAGUAGGCGGCGGGGGGUCCAUCUAGCAUGCUUGCACACCAAGACUUGCCAUGCUGAGGCAAAACAGCUGAAUCGGGUCCCACAUCUUGAGUUGAAAAAGAUGGUGGGUGAGGUACGUUUAAAGGGAGCGGUUCAGCUAUCUAUAAGGUUGGAGACAGCCAUGCAAUGCCUUGAAUACCCACGAAGGAGUUCCUAAACAGACAGCAGUCGCUGAGAAAUGGAAGAUUCAGCUGGGGCUGAUAUCAUCCACCUUCAGCUGUGAGUAGGCUCUCAUUUUUGGAUCUCUUUUGUGGGGCAUUUCCCCUGCAUUGCUAGCUGAACCAAAUGCAACCUACCAAUGGAUCCCACCAUAUCGGCAAGUACAGGAGGGAGACAUCAGACCUUAAGAACCACUGCUUUUCUUGGUUAAGGUGGCUGACGUACUUCCAAAUUCUUAACAUGACCCCCUUACAGGUUAAUUAUGGUGAUUUUUACUCCAAAAAACAGGGCCAUUUCCUCAUGUAUGGAGAACAAAACUAAAAGAAGAACCGACACUGGAAGAAGAUACCCGAUAUGGAGAGUUGGAUCGCACUCUAUCUGUUGGUAGAAUCCAUCUCCCUGUGGUUGAGGUGGCUGCCGGCCAUAGCCCACUGCAGGAGCAUUGGGAUCCCAAACUUGCUGCUGAGUAGCCUGGUUGCUUUCCUCCAACUGCACAUCCACAAUAAAAUUCUAUGGUAAGCUUCUAAGUUUUUGCUAGUAAAACAAUCCAUGUGCCUAUAAUAUUCAUAUUUAGAGCUACCAUUACGACAGGCUCCUUACCCUUUGCUUUAGACUUUUAUUGGCCUCACAGAGCAUUUGUUCCUGCAAGAAAGAACAAUGGUAGUAGGAAGGAAAAGGUGGAAUGAGAAAAGCUGUUUGAUUUUAUUAACCAUACCCUUCGUUGAAGAUCUGCAAGUUGAUCGAGCAUGUAUUGGGUCUGUGAGAAGAUAAUUGGUCAGUACGAGUUACUUAAGUAGCCUGACAAGUUAGAUCCUAUUUUAUUUUAAAGAAAUAGGAACUAGCUGACUUCAAUUAUGAAAAUUUUUCCAUAUAUGAAGCAUUCACCAGCUUUACAAAUGUGGUUAUUAAAAUAAAUGAACGUUCUUGUCUUAGAACACAGAUGUAGACAUUAUUUGUCAUCAUGGGAGUAGAGGAGGGGACUUAAACCAUGAUAAUAAUGCAGUACAUUCUUAAGCAGAAAAGCGUCUAUAUUUCAGAAAAUUAUGAACCUUUGAUAUUGUAUGUUAAACAUCCUCUGUGGGAAAAGUAAUAUAUGCAGUACCCUUGUGGAUCUGAUUUGCUUCAAUGAUGCAUCUAGUUGCCGCUCAAGCUGCUCAAGCUCCUUGCUGCUGAGUGGCCCUAAGUCAUCACCAAGGAGAUUUCUGAAGUUGCAGGGGUUUAAGAACACAUAAGAUCCCAUUAUUAGUAUUCAAGGAUUCAGGCUAAAUAUAGAUUUGUAAUUAAGGGUGCAGAUUGUUAAGCAUGGAAGAGACUGAAAUCAUCGAUGUGGAAGAAAUUCACCUCUGUGAUCUCUGUAAUGCUUCAACACGUGCUUUAAGUUUUAAGUACUCUUGCUGACUAGUCUGUGCUAGCAAAAAGGUAAAUUAAUCUUCUCCAGAGCACAACGAUCACAUAAUCUGAAAAGUUAUAUCACAAGGUAACAUGCUACGUGAUGAUUUGUUUGUAUCCCUUAUUUACAUUACAAGGUGAUAACUUUUGAAGUAUUAAAAUCUUCUUGUCAUAGCAUAUAGUUCGACCUAUUAAUAUCCCCAUCUCAACAGAUUUCAGCCAAGCCUUCCACCCAUCUUGGUUCUCAAAAGCUUACUAAGACCUAAAUGUUAACACACAAAUUGUUAUCUACACUUGGCUGAUUGCUAGAGUGCCUUCAUGUGGUGUCAAAAUGGACUUCGUCACUGGAUGUUUCAAGAAAGCUGGGAGAAGCGACUCCAUCUUUGUAGUCGUCUGCCAGUACACAGAAUUUGCACCCUUCAAUGUCAAAAAUCCUCUGAGACCUACAUGACUUGAAGGGUGACAACCUGCAUGGCAUAUUGAGCAAACUUGCUUUCAAUUUUCAUAGGCACUAUAUCUCCAAGUCUCACUUUAUAGGUACAUUUCUGGAUUGAAUUAAGGACUAUACUAGGUUCAUAGUGCUUACUUUUAUGUAGAUGGCCAAAAAUGAGGUGAUCAACCAGAGUUAGGAAAUUUGCUAUAAGUGAGGAGCUUUCACGGGUGAAAUAACAUUUCAACAGGACUGAAUUCUACCACUAGUUCAAUUUAGUCUCUUUUAACAAGUCAAUUAGGGAUAUAGUUGAAUUUAGUCUCUUUUAACAAGUCAAUUAGGGAUAUCCCAUGGAAUCGUCUUGAUCAUUCUAUAUGAUACAUUUGUACCAUUUCUGAAAAAAGGUGUGCCAAUAGCUAUGCCUCGCCUAUGGCAGGGUUCAAAGAAACAUUUUAUCUUAAAAAGGUCAAGGUUGAUUUACGCAUAGAGGAAAGGUGUUAACUAACAGUCCUGUUAGGUCCUUCCAUCGUCAACCUAGUCAUUAUAUAUUUAAAUAGUGAGCAUAUGUCAAAUUGACAGUAUAAUAUUACCUAUGAUGAGUUAAGAAUAUGUUAUUGCAUCUUAUAUGUGCUGUUUUUAGAGAUCUUGAAUGGCUUCCAUUCAAGCUAAGGGAAUCCAAACCUGAAUCAAAUCCAAGCAACACAUUCUUACCUAUAAAAUUUAGUCUCAAAAUAAUUUAGUCUAACUCAUCAUGGUUAGGGCCAAGCCCACAACGCUUUGAUGGUCUCUAAACCACUGCCAAUGAUAUUGAGACUGCCUAGAUAGAUGAUGUCGAUGUAGAUAUUACAUCUAAAAGAAGUUACAAGAACCUAUCAAAAAGAUAUAGGUUUUCCUUGAACCGAAUGUUACAUGGCCACAUUAAGUAUUAAGCAUCCAGGUAUCCAGAAAAAAACUUGACAAACAAAAUUUAGAAUUUAACAUAAGAAUGCACACCAGUAGCAAGUAGAUGUUUGUGUAAAUAUGUAUGCAUAUACAUAUUUAAAUGAAAAAUCAGUUGGAUCAAUUGAAACAUCAUUGAAUGCUAAAAGUUCACAAAUUUUACAUAGAAGUGUCAAAUCUUGAUAUGCAACAGUUUAGACACUACUGCUAGUCGAUUCGAGCAGUAAAAGAUGAAGUGUGCUAGUUUUCGAUACACCAUAAAACACAAAAUAGUUUGUCUAAUGCUAUUGCUGGGCAAUAAUUCAAUGAACUUGCUAAUUUCUUUCCAUUAAAAAGAUCUAGAUUGCAAUUAAAAAAGUACAUAAAGAAAAGUUUCUGAGACUAUGGGCUUGUUAGAUAAUUACCAAGAUUAGGACUCCACCAAACCUACCUCUCCAACCCAUUCAUUUCUUGGGGUUAUAUUAAAGCUUUAUAAAUAUGGAUUGGAUUUGGGAAUAAAUAUUCCAACUCGAUCUCAAGUGGGUUAGCUUAAGGUUGACCUCAAAGCCAAUCUAAUUAUUUACAAAUAGAAAAUUAUAUUUGAUAUAGAUCAGUUUACAUUUAUAUAUUUAUAUUUUUAGUCAUGUUAAAUUAUUUGUAAGUAUAUCAUUGAAAUUGAUGAAUAGUUGAUAUCUCAAUCCAAUAGAUAUUUAAUCUAGCAAAAAUAUCUAAACCAUAUUCCCUGUCUUAAAAUAUCUAUUCAAGGUGAUCUAACCCAAUUAAGAUGGUACAAACCAAACCCAUCUGACCUAAUCUAAUCAAAAUUUAGCUUGAGAUUAGAUUAAGUUGGUUAAAGGCUAGAGAUAUCCCAACCCAAGAUCGGGUUGGAUUUCAUUCAAGUUUGUUUUCAACCCACUCAAGUUGGAGACAAACAGACUAUGAAACAUAAUGAAGCAUCAUCAACAAUAAAGUCUAGUAUUUGAUAUACCAUUUUUCUCCAUAAUUUAUUUGCUUGCUUGCUACUGAAUGAACAAUUUUGUACUCCAAUAACCCACCUUAAAUACUACUAUUGGCCUUCAGGCAUCUAACUGCUACCUAAUUAGUUUAUAAGAAACUGCACCAACUUUGCCAUAUAAUGGUCUUAGAUAAUGAUCAAUAUUUAAAAAAUAAGGAAAAAAUAAGGACAACUAUUUUUCAUUAUUUUUUAUUAUUACAGCAUACUGUUAUAAUGUAAAUAAUAAUAGAUAUCUUUUAGUUGUACCUUCAUUUGAAUAAAAUAACAUUUUUAAAUUCAUUUUUUACCUCAAAAUUCUCUCCAAAAAUAGUCAUGUAGUCCACAAAAUAAUAAUACUUUAUCUAAUGAAAGUGAAAGGAAAGGUAAUACCAUUAUUUUCUCAUUAGUUAUUUUUUGAGAUAAACAAAAAUAUUAUAGUGGUCAAUAAUGGUUUCAAUAAUUAUUUCGAUGGGCUCCACUGUAAUGAGAUGAAACAUUACUUAAAAUCUUAGGCCAUAGGAAGCAUCCACUUCUUCAGUCUUUAAAUAGUCUAAUAUAUACAUAUAUUAUUAUGGCAAUAGAAACGUAAGAAAAAGAUAGCCAGAUAACAAAACAUAUACAAAAUUCAAAAAAAAUACAAAAAUACUUGGAAAACUAAAAAUAAAUAAAAAUUGAUUGUCCAAAAGGAUAAACAUACGUCGUUAUCCAAAUAGAUAGGCUUGCUGGAUAUCUUAAAUACUUCUUUCUUAAUUCAAUAAUAGACUUGCAUAAAAAAAUUCAACUCUAUAUAUAAAAAAUUAAGAUCUUUUGUAUGAAAUAUAACUUAUAACCUUAUUUAACAUCUUGCACACCUAACCAUCAUUUUUGUCUUUCAUACCAUAGACUCGAUAAAGAGAACAAGAAUGGUUACUUUCUUUUCUAAAGCAUAUCCAACCCAUUUAAAAGCUCUCCAAUUUUAUAUCUUUUUCAUAGUAUCCCCAUCGACGCCAAAUUUCUUUUAUCUUUGAACAUUAUUUUAGUAUUAUCUAAUGAUCCAAAAUCAAAGCUAUAAAGAACAAAUUGCAUUUUCUUAUCAUUCAUGCUUCAUUAAAAAAUAUAUACACAAUCAAAAUGAUAUAAAUAAUUUACCUUUUCUUAAAGUUCAGCCAUGAUGCUAUCAAGAUUUUUUAAAUAUAUUGAUCUUCCUCUGCAUACUUUUUUCUUCAUAUUCAUGCAAAAAGAAAAUAUUUCCACUUUCUAUGAUUUUCCCUCCAAUGUUUACCGAUACUUAGAAGCUUAUUAUCUUAAAUUUGCUUAGUCAUGUAUUUUACCAUAGGUAGCUUCAACUUUUAUAAGAUUUUCUUAAGAAAAAUUCUUGAAGGGUAUUGUAACAAAAUAAAAGUUUUCCAUGUUCCACAACAAUGAGUUCGUACAUAAUUUUUAUUUCUUUUAAGAAAAUAUUUGUCCUUUUAAUUUUCUUUUUAAAACAUUCAUUUCAUGUCUACCAUUCUAAUUUACUAUAACUUAAGACUUCCACCUAAUUUCCAUUUCUUGGAUCUAAAGUAAUAGUAACAAAGACUAGGCUCAAGUCUCCCCUCGUAAUUCAUCCAUCAAACUCUUCUUUAAAGCUUUAUCCUAAGCCUCCAAAGGAUCUUGGACAAAGAAAGAUUUGUAUUAGAACUAAGUAAGAAGGAUAGAAAACCAUAAUCAUCAAGCUUUGGUUAAGUUACUUGAGAUCAACUUUAUGAAUACACAUUUGAGCAUUUUUAUUUGAGAUUACCUUGAUAGCUAUUUCAAAUUUGUCCAUGCCCUUUCAACUUUUAUUCAUAAUAUCUUAGGCUUUAUCCUGCUCUUGCUACAUCCUUCACUAGAAAUUGAACAACAUCUCUUUGUUGAUGUUUCUCGGCAUUUUCCUUCUAUAUAUUCAUAUAAUCUAAAAAAUCUAAUAUCCAUAUGUUUUGAGGAAACCUUUAACUUCAUCCUUAAAUAAUGUAACACUUACAAUUUAGUACACUUUUCUUUUGAGUUUUAUCUCACUUCAUCUCUAUACUUUUAUUUUUGCUACAUUCAACUCGUUCUUUUGUAUACUAUUUAUGUCUAGUAUAUUUAAUCAUAUAAUGUUAUGAGAUAUAUGGUUGUUAUUUAAAUAUUUUUAUUAAAUUAUUAAAGUACAAGUCAAGCAAAUAUGACUCAAAAUGUAUUUGCAUACUUUAUCUAACCAACUGCAAUUUUAUUAUGCAUAUCAUAUCUACGACCUCAUCCAUCAACAUUGAAUGGAGUAUUAUCUUUAUUUAUUUUUACUAAAAUUAUUUCUUGUGUAUUUUAUCUAUAAAGCUGAUUUUUCAAUCCUUAUCCUCCAUAUUUUUACUAUACAAGCAUUUGAUAUAUUUCUUUUUCGAAGAAUAAAUAUUGCAUCAUCUAGAAUGUACUACAAUUUUCAUAAUAUUAAUGCUAGCUUCAACUAUAAGUAGCAAACUCGAACAAUAAGAUAUGGCAAACCCAAGUAGUUGAAUGUAGAUAAAUCAAGAAAACAAGAUGGUUGAUCUGCAAAAAGAAAAUAUGACAGACAUAUCCAAAUAAGUAGUACUAUGAAAACUAAAAUUAAGAAGAUGAUCACCUUUUUGGAAAUAUAAUUUUCUAAUUCAUCUAUGAAGAUCUUCGAGGAAAAUGUAAAUAAAAAAUGGAUGGGAGCCAAAGACUCCAAGAAGAGUAAUAUGUUGACCUUAAAGUUCAAUCUUUUCUUAAAUAAUUUCUUAUUAUAGCCAUAACUUUUACAUCUUGCUCCAAAACAUGGGACUAGUAAUAUACAGUUUCAUCAUGAAUAAUUCAUAUUAAAGGCUAUGAACUUGAAUGAAGUUCAAUAAAAAGAGUAAAUACUCAAAGAACUAAUCUUCUUUUAAUAAAAGAACUCUAAAUAAUAUUACCCAACCAUAUGAACUCAAGCUUCAACCUUUUAUUGAAUAAUUUCUCAAUAUAACUAUAACUUUAAACCUUGUUCCAAUACAUAAAACUGGCAGUAUAGAAUUUCAUCAUAGAUGAUUCAUAUUAAGGGCUACAAAUUUCAAAUUAAAAAAUAAAAAUCUUAAAAUAUUAUGAAUUAAUAUUCUUCAUAAUCAAUAACUCCCCUUAAAUCACAAUCUUCUAAAAUAAUGGUAAGUUUAUCUUUUGAAUAAUCCAAGAAUUAAGAGUCCAGAUAUUAUACAAGUUUUAGGAAGUUGUCUUAUUCAUUAACUUGAAUGUCUAUUGAUAAAAACUAAUAAAAAGCUAAUUUUUAUAUGAAAAUAAAAAUUCAAUGUUAUGCCUAGCAAAUGUAGUCUAAUAUAUUUCAAGUUUUCUCCAAAAGAAUUUAUCUUUUGCAUGGAAUUUUCAAUAAUUUGAUAAUUUGGUAGAACUUUAUAUGCCACAAGAAUUUCAAUAUUUAAAGCAUAAUACUUCAGCUCGAGCAUGAUUCCAUAAAUAAUUUUUUUAUCAUGCAGUAACUUAUGAUUAUAUUUGAUAAUGAUAAGAAAAUAACACAAAGAAUUAAACUUAAGAUAGAAUCUACCACCCCAAGAUAAAACUUUAUCUAGUUUAAAUUAUUGCCAUUUUAAAUCUAAUUUUUUAAUUUACUGGUUUGUGUACUUAUUUAUCAGGUUUUAAACUAUGUUGUCUAAGAAGAAAAAUAAGCAAAAUAUAUUUAUAUCCACCAUUAAAGGUUAAUAAAUUCAAAAUAAAUAUUAAAGAUACUAAUAGACCAUACUCAUCAAUAAACCAAAUUGCUAGAAUGGCUUUAAGAGAAAUACAAAAGUAUGUUAAUAUUGGAUUUGUGCCGUAGAAGCUAAUUGUUAGCUGACACAUUAUGUAAUUUCAGGACCUAAACUUGUACUUGUAAUCUUUUUAUUAUCAAUAAAGAAUUUUUUCAUUCCAAUCAUAUUUAUGUCCAUGAUUUGUUCUAAAAAUUAAUAAAGAUGAUUUUUGUAUAUUCUUAAAGAGUUAAAAAUUUGAGAUAUACAUUAAUUAAUAGUUAAUUUUUAAAUAUUUUCGAUUAAAAGAUCAUCACGGAGAACAGUGAUCAAUCUAUUUGAGAUCGAUGCACGGUUCACCUCUGUUGUGGGCAGAUGAGUCUUGGAUCUACAGUGUAGAGACACUAGGAUGAAGAUAUAGGUGGUUAUUAGAGAAUAACUUAUACUGAGCGUGACCAAUACGAGAACCAUAUGGUUGUCUAAUCACUCAUCAAUGAUCUUCUCGAUACUGUAGUGGUGUGAGUGGUCCUUUGACCUGCGGUGUCAUUAGCUAUUUGCAGUGAGACUACUGGGUUUGACUGCACGUUCUCUUAGUCCCUAGCCAUUCGGAUCUUUACUGUGUAUGUUGGCUUCAGUAGGUUCAGGUUCGCUGUUUGGAGUAGGAUGCACCUAGAUAGAAUUUAUCAAUCUUGGUAGAAAAGAAGAAGUCGUAUGUGAUUUGUGAGACUGAGUUCAGAAAGUCUUUGACCAAAGUAAGUGUGAAUACUGAAAAAAAAUUUUCAUGAAAUUCAUAAAUGAACUUCAGUCAAGCCAAUCUACUAUAUGACUGACGAUGGGAUCUGAAGAGUUCUCUAUGAUCUCCGUCAAAUCGAGACUCAUGAUAGAAGGACUGAAUCAUAUGAUAACUGCACCUAGAGAUUCAUAUUUUCAUUCUACUGGGUUGCCACUAUAUACUGCUAGGUGUCACUAAUGGAUUGUGAGACUCAUCGGAUGUCAUUUUGAUAAUCGAUGGUCCUUGAAGGGUAGAAUUGAAAAUAUUUUAAUCUAUCGAAAAGAGUUUCGAUGAUAUUGUGAUGGAGAUCACAAUAUAUCUCACUACCAAAUAGAAUAGAAUCUAUGGGGUCCCACAUUAAGGGAUUUAAUCUCGAAUUUAUCAAUUGAGCUUAUAAAAUUCAAAUGGAUUAGGAUUUAUUGAAAUCUUAUUAGGUUUGUGAGAACCAUGCUAGCACAUGAUUAAACCUAAUUCUUCUCAGAAUUUUGAUUUGAUCAAGUCCAUAGCCUUGAACCUAACCUAAAUCUAGUUGGGUUUAAUUAGGCUCUUAAUUAUGAGCCCAAAAAAAUUUGAUUAAGUCAAUUAGUUAGCUUAAUUAUCCGAACAUUAUCUCUUCUUUAUUUCCUAAUUAUCUCUAAGUGUGCAUGUAGAAUAGAUAAAAGAUUGGAUGGUAACUUCCUUCUCUUUUGGUAGGAAUUGGGUGCCAAAACCUUGAGGGGCCCACCCCAUUUUAUAUGGCAUGGCAUGGAGGAGAGAGAGGUGGGGCCACAUCCCAUUCUUAUUUGGAUAGAAACUCUAUUAUGGGGCACCAAGAGUUGGCACCUCAACUACCUGACAUGUAUUAGAUGGGCACCUCUUGUACCUGCUUAAAGAGGCUGAUCAUAUACCAUUUAUAUUUGAUUUUAAUUGAAAUAAAUCAGAUUAAAAAUGUAGAGGAUUUUUAUGAGAUAAUGAUCUACUUUUUUAAAAUAAUUAGAUUCCUAUUAUGUGUCAGGAUAGUGCCUAUAUAAAGGAUAUGUCUUUAGAAUUUCUAGCUAAUUUGAUUUUUGAAAAAAAUCUCUCCCUCUCCCUCUCUUUUCUUCCAUGCCCAAGAGUUGGGCAUCUCCUUUUUCCACAUGCCAAGAAGUGCUGCUUUGUCUUGAAGAAUGAAGAUCGAAGAGAAGAAGAAGGCUGCUGAUCAAGGAGUUGAUCCUGUUUAAGGUGUUGAUCAAAGUGCUCAAGCCUAAGAUUCUUCUUGGGAAGAAGAGUCUUCUACGAGAAAAAAAUAGUUCGAGAUUGAUCCUGAUGGAUAUCCAUAGAGGUCGGACACGUGUGUGGCUCGAGUGUCUACGAAUCCGUGAUUAUCAGAAGCGGUGAAUAUCUACCAGCAUUAAGGUAAUAAGAUAUGAUCUCAUAUUUAUUUCUAAAUUUUAGAUUAUAUAUAUGUAUUUUUUUUUAGGCUUGAGUAGGAUUAGAUUUGAUCUUUUGCAUGUGGGGUUAAAGAGUUUAAUCCGUUUUAUUUUUCACUGCAUAUUUCAAAAAUUUUGAAAUCUACACAUGAUGCCUACCCGAUUUUCUAACAGUGGUAUCAGAGCUAUAAAUUUUUGAAAACAUAUAUGAUCUGAUUUUUUAGAUUAGAUCCAAAAGUUUUAAUGAUUUAAAAUCAAUUUUGUGUUGAUAUAAGGUUGUCCUGGUAUACGGUUCACCUCCUAUAUUGCAAAGGUUGUCCUAGUACAAGAUUGAUCGAUUUUGAAAAUUAUUUUUAAAAUAAUUAAAUUAAAUCUUUUAUAUCUAAAAAUUAGUAUAUGUGAUAUGUUUAAUUUUGUGUUUAGAUCUGAAAUUAGAAUAAUUAAAAGUUCACAACAAAUUGAUAUAAGGUUGUCCUGAUAUAGGGUUUAUCCUCUAUAUUGUAAAAAUGAUUCUAGUUUGAUGCGAAUAGAUUUUUAAAAAGAUAUUUUCAAAAUAUUUUAAUCAUUAUUCUAGAUCUAGUUUUAUAUGUAUUUGAUAUGUAUAAAUUUAGUUUUAAAUCUAAAAUUUAAUGUAUAUGUGAUGCAUAUUUAAUUUAGAUCUGAAACUUCAUAUAUUUGAUAUAUGAAAUUAGGUUUAGAUCUAAAACAAUUUCAAGAUCAUAAGCCACUAAUUGCAUGCAAUAAAAUAUAAUUUAAAAUUAUUUUUAGAUCUAAAUUAUGUUAUUGCAUGUGGAUAUGGAUUGGACAAAUUAGGUCUAGUGAUCAAACUACAAUUAGGGUCUAAUUGAUUAGAUCAGACUAGAACCCAUUUUUGAUUUUGAGUAGUUAAUUGAACCUAAUCAAUGGAUGAUUAGGAUUAGAUCAAAGGGGCUCAAAGUUGAGUUUAGUUGUAGUUGGUCACAUCAAUUCAUAUUUUGAUGUAAAUUGAUUGACUCAAGACCGAAUUUGGCUCAACGAUUCGAGUCCAUUUUAAUAUGUUAAUCUAAUCGAUUAAUUUGAUGUCUAAGGCAAGUAUUUAGAUGGUGGUUAUUUAAUUGAUUCUGUUGUCUGACCUGAUUAAUUUUGAUUGGUAUCUAAGAAAAGCAAUGAAGAGACCCCCAUGCAUCUUAACUAAUUACCUGAUCAUCUUGGAAGAUUCAGUUUCAUGUUAAGUUACUUAUUAACUCGAGUUCACCCAUAUCGACUAGGAUGAUUAGAUAUAUUGAUAUGCUGAUCUAAUUUAAUCAGUCGGAUGUCAGAUCUGCUGAUUUAGAAGAUAUCUAAAUCUAAAUUUUUUCAUUAAAUAUUAAGUUUAAAGGUCUUUCAUUGUUGUAGAGAUACAGGUGCUUUUCUGACGUUGAUCAUUUUCGACUGAUUACAGUAGUUCGGUUGUAUCGAAAAGGUACAAUCACUCUAUUGAUAUUUUAUGUCCCGAGGUAGAGAUGGAAUUGGACUGACCAAUAACUAUUAGGUGAGGGUCCCAAUGAUGGCUUUGCACCCACUAGUGAAUGAUGGAUCUGACUUAACUAAGAAAUGUGCCAAUAAUUGUUAGAUGAGGCCACAAGACUUAGAGACCAAGCCCACUGUAUCUUGCUUAGUGAAGCAAUGGAUAAAGUAUUGUCCACUUAUUGGUUCGUACUCACCAAUAACUAUUAGGUGAGGUGCGUAUAGAUUAAUGGAAUCGCAAUACCUAUUUAAAAUUGAUCGCGUAUAGAUUUCUAUUUCUCUAUUCGAGGAGUGUGGGAGAUUCGAAAAAAUAGUGAGAGCCUUUGUUUAUUUUUUAAGUCUCUAGAAUAAAUAAUCUUAUAAGUACAAAAUCUAACUAGAAAUUAUUCUUUUUACAGAUAACCAUGUCGAAUUCAAACUCCAUAGCCCAAAUCCUCGAUAUAAAUAAGUUGACCGGCACCAAUUACAAAGUCUGGCUUUGAAAUCUGAGAAUUAUUCUCAAUUUUGAAAAACUCACACAUAUCCUUGACCAAAAAGCAUCUGUGUUACUUGCUCAUCCAUCCGCUGAUCAACAAGCUGCACUUGAAAAAUGGAUGGACGAAGAUAACAAGGUAAAGUGCUACAUCUUAGCGUCCAUGUCCAAUGAUCUUCAACAAUAGAAUGAAGAUAUGAGGACUGCCAGAGAAAUGAUGGUUCACCUACAAGAGUUGUAUGGUGAACAGAGUCGCACAGCUCACUUUAAGGUCCCUUAGAGAUUUUUCAGAGUGAAGACGUGUGAUGGGCAAUCUGUCAAUGAUCAUUGUCUGACAAUGAUCAAGAACAUAGAGGAGCUUCAGAAGCUCAGAAUGCACAUAGACAAGGAACUACUGGUGGAUCUGAUCCUCUAGUCUCUUCCUGAUUUAUAUGGACAGUUCAUUAUGAACUACCAUAUGAAUAAAAUUGAUGCUACUUUACCUAAGUUAUUGAAUAUGCUGGUGACUUCAGAGGGCACCUUGAAGAGUUCAAGGGGCACAGUUCUAGUUGUGGAGCGGGCUUCCUCCAAAAGGAAGUCUUCUUCUAAGAAAAAGAAAAAGCUUGCGAAAAAGCAAAAGAACGAGGCCAAGCUCAAGAAACAGGCUCUUAAGAAGGUUGACGAUAAAGAAAAAUAUUUUCAUUGCAAUGUCGAAGGCCACUGGAGGAGGAAUUGUCCGGGCUACCUGGCAACUGUCAAGGGUAGGAAGAAGGAUGGAUCUUUUGAAGGUAUGUCUGAAUUAUUCGUUAUCGAAACUAAUCUAAUGAUUUUCUCUUCUUCUAGUUAGAUUCUAGAUUCUGGUUCAAGUGCUCAUUUGUACACUUCAAUGUAGGAUCUUGAAGAAGAGGGUUGAGGGAAGGCUAGAUCACUCUCUGGAUCGACAAUGGAGCAAUGGUUGCUACUGUAGCCAUCAGAACCUAUCCUCUGUGACUAUCAUUAGGACUUAGUUUGCUUUUGAAAGACUGUUAUUAUGUAUCUGUAAUCAGUAAAAAAUUUGAUUUCUAUCUCUGUGCUGGCACAGGAUAACUAUAAUUUUUAUUUCAAUAAAGACAUAUGUUCAAUUUAUUUCAGAAAUAAAAUUAUUACACGUGCUUUUUUUAUUGACAGUCUUUACUCUUUGCAUACGGAUGUGAGUGUAAACAUUAAUGAGCAAAUAGUGAAUGCUAUAGGGUUUAAGAGGAUUAGCCAAAAGUAUCUAUGGCACCGUAGGCUAGACCAUAUUGGAGAGGACAGACUCAACAAACUGGAGAAAGAUUGUCUUCUCGGACCAUUGACUUUCAAGUCUUAUCCAGUCUGUGAAUCGUAUCUUCAAAAUAAAAAUGAUCAAGCUGUCCUUUGUGGGACAAGAGGAUAGGGCCACUGAGAUAUUAGCCCUGGUAUAUACUGACGUGUGUAGUCUAUUCGAUGUAUAAGUCAGGGGUGGCUAUAUCUACUUCAUAAUCUUUACUGAUGAUUAUUCAUGAUAUGGGUUUGUAUAUUUGAUGCACCGAAAGUCUGAAAUCUUUGAAAAGUUCAUAGAGUUCAGACAUGAAGUAGAAAAACAGACCAAAAAAUUUAUAAAAGUUCUUCGAUUAAAUCGAGGAGGAGAAUACCUUAAUGGAGAAUUUCGGACCUAUCUCAAAGAUAAUGAUAUAGUCUCACAGUGGACACCUUCAGGGACACUUCAACUCAACGGGAUAUCUGAAAGGAGAAAUUGGAUCUUAUUAGAUAUGGUCUGAUCUAUGAUGAGCUUCACAAAUCUUUCUGACUUGCUCUGGAGACAUGCUUUACUUACUGCGAUUCAUCUUUUGAAUCGGGUUCUCUCUAAAUCUAUUCCUACCACACCAUAUGAAUUAUGAUAUGGUAAGAAACCAACUCUUGGGUAUCUCAAGAUUUAGGGAUGUCCGACCCAUGUCAAGCGAUAGCAGACGGACAAGUUAGAAGCUAGAUCCUUUAGGACUCGUUUUAUAGAAUAUCCUAAGAAAAUCAUGAGAUACUACUUUUAUCUUCCUGAAGAUCACAAUGUGAUUGUGAGCCAUUAUGCCGUAUUCUUGAAAAAAGAGUUUAUCCAAAAUGGAGGCAAUGGGAGAAAGAUUGAGCUCGAAGAGAAAGUCUCUGAAGAGCAUCGAGUCCAAGAACCUGAACCCAAUAAUGAGCUAGUAGAUAUGAUACCUCCUUCAUCUCAUAGAUUAAGUAGGGUCUUCUGUCCUCCUGAAAAAUACAUAGAUAUUCUUACAAAGAAUUUAGAGGAAGCAUUCCUUGUGGGAGAUAGAGAUAUUAGGAAUGAUCCUAAAAUCUACGAUGAGACAAUGUUAGAUAUAGACUUCGAGAAAUGGAUGGAUGCGAUGAAGUCAGAAAUUGACUUCAUGCAUUCUAACCAGAUUUGGUACUUAGUAGAUCUACCUGAAGGUAUUGUACUUAUUGAGUGUAAAUGGAUUUACAAAAAGAAGAUUGGAUCAGAUGGUGAGGUAGAGAUCUAUAGGCAAGGCUAGUCGCGAAAGGUUAUAGUCAACGUGAAGGCAUCGACUAUCAUGAAAUCUUUUCAUCCGUAGCCAUGCUGAAAUCUAUCCGUACUCUGUUUGUCAUAACAGUAUUUCAUGAUUAUAAAAUUUGAUGGAUGGAUGUAAAAACUGUCUUCCUAAAUGGAUAUCUGAAGGAAGAUAUCUAUAUAGAGCAGCCUCUGAAUUUCACGUUCAGUGAUAGUGACCACAAGGUCUGCAAGCUGUAAAGGUCUAUAUAUGAACUUCAGCAAGCAUCUCAGAGUUGGAAUACUCGCUUCAAUGAUAUAUUAAAAUGUUUGAUUUCAUAAAAAAUAAGGAGCCGUGCAUGUAUAAAAAAAUUAGUGGGAGUGCUGUCAUAUUCUUCGUAUUAUAUGUAGAUGAUAUCCUCUUGAUUGAAAAUGAUAUUCCCAUGCUGACGUCGGUCAAAGUAUGGUUAUCAAAAGAGUUUACUAUGAAAGACCUAGAAGAAGCUUCCUACAUUCUUGGUAUAAAGGUCUAUAGAGAUAGAUCUAAGAGAAUGAUAGGACUCUCACAAUAUAUGUACAUAGAGGAAGUGCUGAAGAGGUUCAACAUGAAAAAUUUCAAGAUGAAUCUUUGCCCCUUAGACAUGACAUUCAUCUCUCUAAAAAGAUGUACCCUGACACUCCUGAGGAGAUCCAGUGCAUGAGCAAGAUCUUUUACACUUCUACAAUAGAGAGCUUUAUGUAUACCAUAUUAUGUAUAUGUCCUGAUAUAGUACUUGUCGUGAGUGUUACGAGUAGAUAUCAGGCGAAUCUAGGUGAAAAAUACUGGAUUGCUGUUAAAAACAUCCUUAAGUACUUGAGAAGGACUAAGGAUUUGAUGUUGGUCUUUGGUGGAGGAUCGGAGCUGAAAGUAAAGGGAUACACCGAUUCAGACUUUAUGACUGAUGUCGGUGAUAGAAAGUCUACAUCAGAGUGUAUUUUUUUGUGUAAUGGUGGUGCAGUUAGCUGGAAGAAUUUCAAGUAGUCGAUCAUUGUAGAUUUGAUCAUGAAAGUCGAGUAUAUCAUCGCUUCUGAAGCUGCUAAGAAAACUUUUUGGUUCAAGAAAUUUGUUACGGAGCUGGGUGUGAUGCCAUCAGAUGCUAUUGCACUGCACUGUGAUAAUAAUAGCGCCAUAGCCCUCGUUAAGAAGCCAAAAGUCUCACCAGAAGUCCAAACACAUAGAGCAGCGGUUUCACAUCAUACGUGAAUAUCUCGAGAAGAAAUUCAUCGAGGUACAGAGAGUCGACUCUAUGCUGAAUGUGGUAGAUCCACUGACCAAGCCUCUCAGCCAAUAAAAGAUCGAAGGUCACCUUGAGAAGAUGGAUCUUAGGUAUGUGGCCAAUUGACUUUAGAUCAAGUGGGAGUUUGUUAGAUUUAUGUCCUAGAAGUCAAUUGUUGUCUGGCACAUUAUGUAGUUUCAGGGUCUAAAAUUAUACUUGUAAUUUUUUUAUUAUCAAUAAAGAACUUUUUCAUUUCAAUUAUGUUUGUGUCCAUGAUUUAUCCUAAAAAUUAAUAAAGAUAAUUUUUAUAUAUUUUUAAAGAGUUAAAAAUUUGAGUCAUACAUUAAUUAGUGGUUAAUUCUAAAUACUCUCAAUCAAAAGAUCAUCACGGAGGACAGUGAUCAGUCUAUUUGAGAUCGUGCAUGGUUCACCUUUCUUGUGGGCAAAUGAGUCUCGGAUCUGCGGUGUAGAGACACUAGGAUGAAGGUGUGGAUGGUUGUUAGAGAACAACUUGCACUGAACGUGACCAAUAUGAGAACCACAUGAUUGUCUACUCACUCGUCAGUGGUCUUCUCGAUGCUGCAGUGAUAUAAGUGAUCCUUUGACCUACGGUGCCAUUGGCUAUUCGCAGCGAGGCUACUGGAUUUGACUGCACGUUUUCUUGGUCUCUAGCCAUUCAGAUCCUUACUGUGUAUAUUGGCUUCAGUAGGUUCAGAUUCACUGUUUGGAGUAGGAUGCCCUUAGAUAGAAUCUAUCGAUCUUGGUAGAAAAAAAGUUCUUUGUGAUUUGCAAGACUGAGUUCAGAAAGUCUUUGAUCAAAGCAAGUGUGAAGACUGAAAAAAAAAUUUCACGAGAUUUACAAAUGAACUUAAGUCAAGUCAAUCUAGUAUAUGACUGACGAUGGGAUAUGACGAGUUCUCCAUGACCUUCGUUAAGUCAGGACUUACGAUAGAAGGACUGAAUCAUACGAUAACUGUAUCUAGAGAUUAGUACUUUCAUUCUACUGAGUUGCCAUUACAUACUGCUAGGUGUCACUGAUAGAUGGUGAGACUCAUCGAACGUUAUCUUGAUGAUCGAUGGUCCUCGAAGGAUAAAAUUAGAAAUAUUUUAAUCCAUUGAAAAGAGUUUCGAUAAUAUUGUAAUGGAGAUCACAAUAUAUCUUACUACCAGAUAGAAUAGAAUCUAUGAAAUCAUCCAUUAAGGGAUUUAAUCUCAAAUUUGCUAAUUGGACUUAUGAAGUUCAAUUAAGUUAGGGUUUAUUGAAAUCUUAUUAAAUUUGUGAGAACCAUGCUAGUACAUGGUUAAACCUAAUUCUUUUUGAGAC
RNAcentral lists this long non-coding RNA (27374 nucleotides) under Elaeis guineensis (African oil palm). RNAcentral describes it as "long non-coding RNA (EGUI_LNC004678)". Lineage: Eukaryota; Viridiplantae; Streptophyta; Magnoliopsida; Arecales; Arecaceae. The record is from RNAcentral.